This 492-nucleotide ribosomal RNA is filed under the name uncultured bacterium. RNAcentral describes it as "partial 16S ribosomal RNA". It matches the Rfam family "Bacterial small subunit ribosomal RNA", at positions 29 to 507 of the family's 1533-position model. The record is from RNAcentral.
AGUGAACGCUGGCGGUAGGCCUAACACAUGCAAGUCGAACGGCAGCACAGUAAGAGCUUGCUCUUACGGGUGGCGAGUGGCGGACGGGUGAGGAAUACAUCGGAAUCUACUUUUUCGUGGGGGAUAACGUAGGGAAACUUACUCUAAUACCGCAUACGACCUACGGGUGAAAGCAGGGGAUCUUCGGACCUUGCGCGAAUGAAUGCGCCGAUGUCGGAUUAGCUAGUUGGCGGGGUAAAGGCCCACCAAGGCGACGAUCCGUAGCUGGUGUGAGAGGAUGAUCAGCCACACUGGAACUGAGACACGGUCCAGACUCCUACGGGAGGCAGCAGUGGGGAAUAUUGGACAAUGGGCGCAAGCCUGAUCCAGCCAUACCGCGUGGGUGAAGAAGGCGUUCGGGUUGUAAAGCCCUUUUGUUGGGAAAGAAAAGCAGCAGGUUAAUACGCCGCUGUUCUGACGGUACCCAAAGAAUAAGCACCGGCUAACUUCGUG